CGUAAAGGGCGUGUAGGCGGCCUGAUAAGUCAGAGGUGAAACUCCAGAGCUCAACUCUGGGCGUGCCUCUGAAACUGUUGGGCUUGAGUGCUCUAGAGGGCAGUGGAAUUGCCGGUGUAGCAGUGAAAUGCGUAGAGAUCGGCAGGAACACCAGUGGCGAAGGCGACUGCCUGGGGAGUAACUGACGCUGAGGCGCGAAAGCUGGGGGAGCAAACGGG
Molecule: ribosomal RNA, 218 nt
Filed under: uncultured bacterium
Lineage: Bacteria
Description: partial 16S ribosomal RNA
Rfam family: Bacterial small subunit ribosomal RNA
Source: RNAcentral